AGGGCGAUGAUGCAUAGCCCGAGUUGAGAGACUGAUCGGGCCACAUUGGGACUGAGACACGGCCAAAACUCUACGGGGAGGCAGCAGUAGGAAUCCUCCCAACAAUGGACGCAAGUCUGAUGGAGCAACGCCGCGUGAGUGAAGUAAGGUUUUCGGAUACGUAAAAGCUCUGUUGUUGGUGAAGAAGGAUAGAGGUAGUAACUGGUCCUUUAUUUGACGGUAAUCAACCAGAAGUCACGGCUAACUACGUGCCAGCAGCCGCGGUAAU
RNAcentral lists this ribosomal RNA (268 nucleotides) under uncultured Abiotrophia sp. RNAcentral's name for it is "partial 16S ribosomal RNA". It matches the Rfam family "Bacterial small subunit ribosomal RNA", at positions 270 to 524 of the family's 1533-position model. The record is from RNAcentral. Lineage: Bacteria; Bacillati; Bacillota; Bacilli; Lactobacillales; Aerococcaceae.